Molecule: long non-coding RNA, 3342 nt
Organism: Triticum aestivum (bread wheat)
Lineage: Eukaryota; Viridiplantae; Streptophyta; Magnoliopsida; Poales; Poaceae
Exons: 3
Source: RefSeq, a predicted model, not a curated record
CCAUCGGUUGCAAAGGUGAGGCCAGAUAACAAGAGGUUAAUUAUGUUCUCAUCUCCAAUAUGUUUAGUGGUUACAUCAUGCUACUGUUCACUUUUUUCUCACCUCAUUAUACUGCACUACUAUGCACUGAAGUUGUUUGCUAAUUUACACAUUGAAUUGUUUUGGUUGAUAUGCUAUUUAUGUGUUUCCUUCCCCAAAUCCUUUUUUCUAGUUGUAAAGGUUGUUGUUGCUAUAGCCUCAUGGAAAAAGAUUGUUUUUGGGUAAGCCAACCCAAUAUUUCUGGUCGUUGAUGCAUUUUGAUAAGUUUGAUGGUCCAGUCCCCAGUGAGGAAGAAAUCUUAGUCGACGACGCUGGCAGUGGCACUGGCUCCAGUGCCCCUGCUCUUGCAGCACUCGAGCAUAUUUUUAUCCGCAGCUAGAAAGGGGAGGAUGAAGGAAUUUUGCAGCUAUUAUGCCAUACACCAUUAGAAGAUAAAGACAGUAAGCUGGUUGCAGCAUCCAAAACACAUUCAGUUAUCCGAAGUAAAGCAUAUUCAUAUUCAGCAAGUAAACUAGCAAGCUCUCUUCUCUUUCUUACAUAUUUUAUAUUUACAAUCACAUGGAGGUGCUCUUAAGUGUAUGGAUCAUUAUCGCUGGGUUUCCCUGCCUUUCUUCCUGGUUCCGUAUUGAGAUUUGUAUGCAACUAUUUCAUCUUCCAUUAUGAACAUUAUCUUAUUUCAGAUUCAGCCAACAUGCAUGUAAAUACUAUGGCCAAUUGCAUUGUCUUCUAGAAUUAAUUAUGCACCAUGUCACACAAGCAUAUGACAGAUUUUUAGUCAUAGACCAUUUUGAUAAGCAUUAUGAUUUUAAAUUUACAAGUGUGAGUGACCUCAUCCGAACAUAUUGCCAUCCAUUCCACAGAUUUGCACUCGCUUUGUUGUUUGGCACAACAGAAUUGUCAGUUUCCAAAAUGCAUAUACUUCUAUUUAUACUGACGUCUUGUAUGCUCACCUUAGAUGCCACCACACAAUUACAUCUUAUAAUUAUGAUUUCUUUUAGAAUUAAAUGGAACUACAUACUGAUUUCAACUUCUAAGUGACAUGUUUAUAUGCCUAUUUGACAAAUUCCCCUUCAAUCGAAAUGAAUAUAGGAAAUGGAGAGUUUACAGAGAGUCCGUAGGAGAAAUCUACAUGCCGUCAUUAGGAAUGAGGGAACAACCUAUGGUAUGGAAUAUUGAAGAGUGUAAAUUCUAGCUAUAUUUUCUUCUUCAUACACAUAUCUUUUUUGGGGGGUUCAUGCACAUCUUUUUCUUGGGAUCUUUAUGUUGUGCACUGAAGUCAUGUUGUGAAGUAUCACUUUGGAAUUAGCUUAUCCAAUUACUCGAUAUUUUUCACGAUGGGGAUUCAGACUGUUACUACCUCUGUCCCAAAAUAAGUGUCUCCACUUUAGUACAACUUGUAUAAAGUUAGUAGUAAGUUAGUACAAAGUUGAGACACUUAUUUUAGGACGGGGGAGUACUUAGUAUAUUUAAUGUUCUUCUUUUCCAACCUAUCGGAGAUUGAAUGGAUGAAACACUAUUAUUGGCUUUAUGCAGCAAUGUGUCCAUGAUAGUUUUCACUUUUUAAAAGAUUCUACUUCCCCGUCUACUUAUAUCUCUUAUGUUAUCCUCUUGUGUUUUAUCUCUAAUUUAUCUUCCUGGUUACACCAGCUCCUUGUGUCUCUGCUCCCCCCUUGUGUGUUUAUGAUGGCAGCUCCGCAUCAUGGUGCGAGGCACCGGUGGCUGCAGUAGGUGUAGAUGACGAGGAAGAGCCAGCUUCGUGGCCUUGCUGCAUCCACCUUAGCUUUUCAUUACUCCAUAUACGGACAUUAGGUUGAUGCUGCUGCAUAUGCAAAUAAUUGGUUUGUUAUCCAUAGUUCUUCUACUUCAGAUUCGAUGCUAGGUGCCUUAGAGCUUAUACUAGAUGAUACAAAGGGGUUACCUAGCUUUCUUUCCAUGGGCAUACAUAUCUUCAUUUAUAUAGCAUAUUUUGUGGCCAAUAAUAUUUUACAGAAUUCUUUGCUGACAGUUUGAAUAAAAAUGUCGUAAGAAUCUAGAUAAAAGAAAGUGGAAUGAAUAUAUAUGUAUAUUCCAUGGGCAGGAUAUCUAACAGGAACCAUUUAAAAUAUGAUGGUCGUAUUCUAUAACUACAAUUAAGGAGUAUUUUAGCACAUGUUGCUUAUAAAAUUCUUAUCUAGUUAUACUUAGAAUUUCUUUUGACAGCUUCUUUUUGUUUAUUUGUUUCUUAAGCACACAAAUCAGUGCAUUCUUGACAACCUCUUUCUCCCAUGCAGUGAACUGGGGAGGCAUCACAUAAAUUACAAAUAUUUUCGUUUUUCCUAGAUUUAUAGAAGAAUAGAAUGUUGCACGUUGCUUCUAUGGUGUAUCACCCAAUGUAUAGCUUCCUUGACUUUAUUUUGUUUUCAGCUAGUGGCAUGGUAUUCUGCCAUGUACCCCUGUCUUUAUUUACAGUUUGCAUGUCCAGUGAAAAGACUAAAUCAUUUACUCUGUUGCUCUUGGUCCAGUGAAAGACCAAAUCCAUGUGUAGUUGUUCUGGCUUUGUGGUGUGCAUCGUCUAGCUGAAAUAAUGAAAUGAUGUGAGAUUAUGUUGAGCUUGCUAGUGUGCUUCUUGUCAAUCCUGCUAUGCCGUUGUCUGCUGAAUUCUGGUUGUACAUCGAUGCAAAUGAACAUGGACACAACUUAUUCUAUACAUUUUAUUAAAAAUUCAAACCGCUGAACAUGAUCACUUCCAUAUCUCUGAAAUUGUGUGCUUUUGGUUUCCAAUGGUAUUUGGUUUAUGUACACUGCAAGCCCCACGAUGCUAAUUGAAAUAUCCUUUAUCAUGUUGCAGAUGCUUAGCAAAUGCUUUUGCUGCUACCUGAUCAUAAUCAUCUAAUUUUUUACUCCUUUCAUUUCUAUAUGAAUGGCUGGAAGAGAGUUAUCCUGCAUGGGCACAUAGACCAGGAUACAUGUUACAUUGUAUCUCAGGAUAUAGCAACAGGAGGUGAGGUUUACAGGAAACACAAAAGAGGGGAGCUAAAGAUGUUCAAGCUGGAAGAUGUUAUCCAAUGAGAUGAAGAAUGAAGGUUUUGAUGUCAAGUAUGAGAAUGAUGCAAGGAUCUGCAUCUUGGUGGAAGGAUGUGAGGAUGGGGCUGUAGUUUCCCACUAGAAGGCAGGCAAAUGAUGUGCCCUGAGACAAAUUGCCGAAAACAAAGCGAGGAGUUUAAUUAGUUACAUUAGUUUAUAGGAAACUUGGAUGGUAUUAGUUCAUAACAGAUGAACUAUUUAUAUGUAAAACUUAACGCAUGUGUGUUGUUUAUAUGUGAA